GCCUACGGGGGGCAGCAGUGGGGGAUAUUGCACAAUGGGGGAAACCCUGAUGCAGCGACGCCGCGUGAGUGAAGAAGUAUUUCGGUACGUAAAGCUCUAUCAGCAGGGAAGAAAAAUGACGGUACCUGACUAAGAAGCCCCGGCUAACUACGUGCCAGCAGCCGCGGUAAUACGUAGGGGGCAAGCGUUAUCCGGAUUUACUGGGUGUAAAGGGAGCGUAGACGGCAUAGCAAGUCUGAAGUGAAAGCCCGUGGCUCAACCGCGGAACUGCUUUGGAAACUGUUAAGCUGGAGUACUGGAGAGGC
RNAcentral lists this ribosomal RNA (305 nucleotides) under uncultured bacterium. RNAcentral describes it as "bacterial SSU rRNA". It matches the Rfam family "Bacterial small subunit ribosomal RNA", at positions 337 to 658 of the family's 1533-position model. The record is from RNAcentral.